GACGAACGCUGGCGGCGUGCUUAACACAUGCAAGUCGAACGGUAAGGCCUUUCGGGGUACCCGAGUGGCGAACGGGUGAGUAACACGUGGGUGAUCUGCCCUGCACUUCGGGAUAAGCCCGGGAAGCUGGGUCUAAUACCGGAUAGGACUGCGCGGUGCAUGCCGUGUGGUGGAAAGAUUUAUCGGUGCAGGAUGGGCCCGCGGCCUAUCAGCUUGUUGGUGGGGUAAUGGCCUACCAAGGCGACGACGGGUAGCCGGCCUGAGAGGGCGACCGGCCACACUGGGACUGAGACACGGCCCAGACUCCUACGGGAGGCAGCAGUGGGGAAUAUUGCACAAUGGGCGCAAGCCUGAUGCAGCGACGCCGCGUGAGGGAUGACGGCCUUCGGGUUGUAAACCUCUUUCAGCAGGGACGAAGCGUGAGUGACGGUACCUGCAGAAGAAGCACCGGCCAACUACGUG
RNAcentral lists this ribosomal RNA (462 nucleotides) under uncultured bacterium. Its description in RNAcentral is "partial 16S ribosomal RNA". It matches the Rfam family "Bacterial small subunit ribosomal RNA", at positions 28 to 507 of the family's 1533-position model. The record is from RNAcentral.